RNAcentral lists this ribosomal RNA (252 nucleotides) under Paenibacillus sp. P46E. Its description in RNAcentral is "partial 23S ribosomal RNA". It matches the Rfam family "Bacterial large subunit ribosomal RNA", at positions 2667 to 2925 of the family's 2925-position model. Lineage: Bacteria; Bacillati; Bacillota; Bacilli; Caryophanales; Paenibacillaceae. The record is from RNAcentral.
AGGAGCUGUCCUUAGUACGAGAGGACCGGGAUGGACGUACCGCUGGUGCAUCAGUUGUUCCGCCAGGAGCAUGGCUGAGUAGCUACGUACGGACGGGAUAAGCGCUGAAAGCAUCUAAGCGUGAAGCCCCCCUCAAGAUGAGAUUUCCCAGUAUGUAAGACCCCUUGAAGACGACGAGGUAGAUAGGUUGGAGGUGGAAGCACGGUAACGUGUGGAGCUGACCAAUACUAAUCGGUCGAGGGCUUAUCCAAA